RNAcentral lists this ribosomal RNA (111 nucleotides) under Candidatus Taylorbacteria bacterium RIFCSPHIGHO2_02_FULL_44_36. RNAcentral also lists the same sequence under 2 other names. Lineage: Bacteria; Candidatus Tayloriibacteriota. The record is from RNAcentral.
UUUGGUGGCUUAUCGCAGGGGUCAUAUCUCUUCCCAUUCCGAACAGAGUCAUCAAGCCCUGUAGAACCGAUGAUAUCCACUUUUGGUGGAGAAAGUAGGUAGCCGCCAGAA